GACGGAGGAUGCAAGCGUUAUCCGGAAUGAUUGGGCGUAAAGCGUCCGCAGGUGGCAGUUCAAGUCUGCUGUCAAAGACCGGGGCUUAACUUCGGAAAGGCAGUGGAAACUGAACAGCUAGAGUAUGGUAGGGGCAGAGGGAAUUCCUGGUGUAGCGGUGAAAUGCGCAGAUAUCAGGAGGAACACCGAUGGCGAAGGCAGGUCUCUGGGCCACUACUGACGCUGAGGAGCGAAGGCCAGGGGAGCAAACGGG
Molecule: ribosomal RNA, 253 nt
Filed under: uncultured bacterium
Lineage: Bacteria
Description: partial 16S ribosomal RNA
Rfam family: Bacterial small subunit ribosomal RNA
Source: RNAcentral